UACGGGGGGGGCAAGCGUUGUUCGGAAUUACUGGGCGUAAAGGGCUCGUAGGCGGCCAACUAAGUCAGACGUGAAAUCCCUCGGCUUAACCGGGGAACUGCAUCUGAUACUGGAUGGCUUGAGUUCGGGAGAGGGAUGCGGAAUUCCAGGUGUAGCGGUGAAAUGCGUAGAUAUCAGGAGGAACACCGGUGGCGAAGGCGGUUCUCUGGGCAACAACUGACGCUGAGGAGCGAAAGCGUGGGGAGCGAACAGG
RNAcentral lists this ribosomal RNA (253 nucleotides) under uncultured bacterium. RNAcentral describes it as "partial 16S ribosomal RNA". It matches the Rfam family "Bacterial small subunit ribosomal RNA", at positions 524 to 776 of the family's 1533-position model. The record is from RNAcentral.